Molecule: long non-coding RNA, 236 nt
Filed under: Ictidomys tridecemlineatus (thirteen-lined ground squirrel)
Lineage: Eukaryota; Metazoa; Chordata; Mammalia; Rodentia; Sciuridae
Description: lncRNA (ENSSTOG00000031766.1)
Source: RNAcentral
UGAGGACUAACCCAGGGCCUCACCAUGAGGGGCAAGCACUCUACCACUGAGCUACGACUCCAGCCCCUGGACAUGACUCUUCUUUCAUAGCUGUUGAAGAGGUUGGCAAGUCAGCUGCGUCCUUCCCUCAAGAGGUGAAGGAAGGCAAAUCCGCAGCAUGCAGGAUGGAAGUCAGACAGAAAGAGGCCUCCUGCAGUGAAGUAUUGGAGCAAAGGACACCUGCUGGAGUAUCCCCC